UACGUAGGGUGCAAGCGUUGUCCGGAAUUAUUGGGCGUAAAGAGCUCGUAGGCGGUUUGUCGCGUCUGCUGUGAAAUCUGGGGCUCAACCCCCAGCCUGCAGUGGGUACGGGCAGACUAGAGUGCGGUAGGGGAGAUUGGAAUUCCUGGUGUAGCGGUGGAAUGCGCAGAUAUCAGGAGGAACACCGAUGGCGAAGGCAGAUCUCUGGGCCGUAACUGACGCUGAGGAGCGAAAGCAUGGGGAGCGAACAGG
This 252-nucleotide ribosomal RNA is filed under the name uncultured bacterium. RNAcentral's name for it is "partial 16S ribosomal RNA". It matches the Rfam family "Bacterial small subunit ribosomal RNA", at positions 524 to 776 of the family's 1533-position model. The record is from RNAcentral.